This 2202-nucleotide long non-coding RNA is filed under the name Homo sapiens (human). RNAcentral describes it as "HSALNT0326682". Lineage: Eukaryota; Metazoa; Chordata; Mammalia; Primates; Hominidae. The record is from RNAcentral.
AGCAUUUGGAGAAUUCCUCUCAUGAGUUCUGAUGGUGUUUCUUCCUUUUGAAUAAAAACUGCCUACUUUAAACCCUGUGUUUUGGAAUCUCCCUCAGCAACAUGGGUCUAGACCUCACUGACCAGGCACUGAUAGCGGAAAGCACAAGUGAUGGUGACCAGCAGCUUCUAAACUCUGUUGAUGCGGUGGCUUGAUCAAGAUAGUCAAACAUCUGAGUUUCUGUCUGCCCCAGCAAGUCACAUGCAGCAUCCAAAGGAAUUGCAGAACAGUUUCAUCCCCGGCGUGGUUCACCCAACAAUUUACUCUGCCUGUGGACACUGUCCCCUGACCCCUACAAGAUUUUCUCCUUUACCGCCCAUCCCCUGAUAUGUCCUCACACAAAUCCACUUUGCAGUGACUUUCAAUAUCAGUUGAACUGGGGGUGGAAAAAAAAGAAAAAAAAGAAUCUUAAAGGAAAAAAAAUCUUCUUUGCACAGGUGCAAUGACCUCCCUUGAUGAAGAAAGGCUCCCCGGGUGCCUACAGCAGAACCCAGUUCUGCACAAUAACGCCGGCUGCAAUGUGAGGCUCCGGAGUAAUGUGAUCUGUUUUCACACAGCCUAGUGUUAGGGUGCUGCUGCCACUCACUCUAAAGGUUACUAUCUCUCUUUUAUUGUAAUUACAAAAGCUAACUGCAAAACCCGAAACCUUGCUGGGAAAUUGCCUGCCUACACAAAGAACACAGAGACCCUAUCGUUUCAGAGUUUAGUUCUUUCCGAGCUUCUUUAUAAAGGAGUUUUUGUCUGCCUCUGAGGCUCCAACCAUGGAGGAGCUGCGGAUCAAGGUUAGCUGAUGGCUUGGAGUGUUUCAAUGGAGAAGGCUCUCUUUGGAGGUUGGCAUAUAGGUGCUUUACAAUUUAGCUUGCAAAAGUUAAGUAAAACUGCAGCUGUGCUACAGUGUAGAUGGUGGGAAGAGCGAAGACAGAGAGAGAGAGAUUCCUACUAAAUGAUGUCUUCUGUUAUUUCAGAUCCCAUCAGCUUUCCUUGAAGGAGGUGUUAUAGUGUAUUCAUUCUCCCACUGUUUGCUUUCAUCACUCUCACACUCAAGGUUUGAAUACAAUAAUCACAAUGCAGAGAGUGUUGGGAGGUAUUUAUUUUUAUCCCAACUGCCAGCAUCAUCACAGUGUGUGUGAUCCAAAUUUACACUCUGCAUAUACACAGCAUGUGGCCCUGCUGCCGAGCCAGCUGCUUUCCCUAAGGCUGAGGCAUGGUUAAGUUUCAAGUUUUGCCUUAUCAAAACUGUGAUAGCAAAAAUGUGUGAGUGAAACCCAUACUCAGGGCAGCUUACUUAGCAAAUAUUGAAACCUGUGAUUUGUUGUUCAUUGGAAGUCAAGAAAGAAGACUGUGUGUGUGUGUGUGUGUGUGUGUGUGUGUGUGUAUGCUAGUUAUUGCAGACGGGGCAAAUUCUCUAAACCAACACCCAUUCUCCCUGCUCUCCUUACCAACAGAAGCUUGAUUUCUCAGGCCAGCAACGUGCUCAGUUCAAAGAUAGCUUUUCCUUUGAGAUAGGGUGUGGCUGUGUGGCCCUGCUCCGGCAGACUAGAUUUAUUUUGUGGGACUUCCAGGAAGGCUUCUUAAAAGGGAGGGAGGAGACUUUUGUCCCAAAUCCUUUCCUUUUCCUCCUGGCUGGAAAGCUGAUAGGAAGCUAAUGCCCUCAUCAGCCAUCCUGGACUCUGAGGUGGAUUCAAAGAUAGGCUAUGUGUGUCAGUGUCUGGAGCAGAAAGACAGAAGGUCUUAGUCCUUGGAGACUCUGCUGCGCCACUGCACAGCCCUGACCUGCCUACCUUAAAAUGCAUUUUUAUGUGAGAGAAAAUACCUUUGCAUGUUUGAGCCACUAUUUUGGGGUCCUCUGUAGCCAAAUGCAAUUUCUAACUGAUAGAUCAACUUGAGGUUUAACACUAACUGAGGCCAGAUUCUAUGGGUUAAUUUGCACAGAGUACAGAGAACAAUGCUGGCACUGAGUGCAUAAAGACUAGCUGUUAAUACCUGCUUGGGGAAUUGUUACAUUUACUAAUCAUCUCUGAGUUUACACUUUAAUGCAGAAAUAUCCAUUGUGAUUGGCUUUAUGCUAUGAUUAAAAGGUCUCUAUAAAAAUGUAGACUGAACUUGGUUGUCCUAUUCAGCAUUCGAUCCAUGAAAUUUGAGGGUGUAUUAGUUUGUUUCUUU